GACGAACGCUGGCGGCGUGCUUAACACAUGCAAGUCGAACGGAAAGGCCCUUCGGGGUACUCGAGUGGCGAACGGGUGAGUAACACGUGGGCGUUCUGCCCUGCACUUUGGGAUAAGCCUGGGUAACUGGGUCUAAUACCGAAUAGGACCACGCGCUCCAUGGUGUGUGGUGGAAAGCUAUUGCGGUGUGGGAUGGGCCUGCGGCCUAUCAGCUUGUUGGUGGGGUAGUGGCCUACCAAGGCGACGACGGGUAGCCGGCCUGAGAGGGUGACCGGCCACACUGGGACUGAGAUACGGCCCAGACUCCUACGGGAGGCAGCAGUGGGGAAUAUUGCACAAUGGGCGCAAGCCUGAUGCAGCGACGCCGCGUGAGGGAUGACGGCCUUCGGGUUGUAAACCUCUUUCAAUAGGGACGAAGCGACAGUGACGGUACCUAGAGAAGAAGCACCGGCCAACUACGUG
Molecule: ribosomal RNA, 462 nt
Filed under: uncultured bacterium
Lineage: Bacteria
Description: partial 16S ribosomal RNA
Rfam family: Bacterial small subunit ribosomal RNA
Source: RNAcentral